GAUGAAGAACGUAGCGAAAUGCGAUAAGUAGUGUGAAUUGCAGAAUUUAGUGAAUCAUCGAAUCUUUGAACGCACAUUGCGCCCUUUGGUAUUCCUUAGGGCAUGCCUGUUCGAGCGUCAUCUACACCCUCAAGCACAGCUUGGUGAUGGGCGCCUGUCCCGCCCCCCACGGGGGCGCGGACUCGCCUCAAAUGCAUUGGCGGCCGGCGACCUGGCUUCGAGCGCAGCAGAAACGCGUACUCGGGGACCGGGCGCCCGCUCCCAGAAGCCAACCCACCCAGUUUGACCUCGGAUCAGGUAGGGAUACCCGCUGAACUUAAGCAUAUCAAUAGCGGAGGA
Molecule: unclassified non-coding RNA, 339 nt
Filed under: soil metagenome
Description: partial contains 5.8S ribosomal RNA, internal transcribed spacer 2, and large subunit ribosomal RNA
Rfam family: 5.8S ribosomal RNA (bases 1-120)
Source: RNAcentral